This 393-nucleotide ribosomal RNA is filed under the name uncultured bacterium. RNAcentral describes it as "partial 16S ribosomal RNA". It matches the Rfam family "Bacterial small subunit ribosomal RNA", at positions 523 to 918 of the family's 1533-position model. The record is from RNAcentral.
AUACGGAGGAUGCGAGCGUUAUCCGGAUUUAUUGGGUUUAAAGGGAGCGUAGGUGGGAUAUUAAGUCAGCUGUGAAAGUUUGGGGCUCAACCUUAAAAUUGCAGUUGAUACUGGUUUCCUUGAGUACGGUACAGGUGGGCGGAAUUCGUGGUGUAGCGGUGAAAUGCAUAGAUAUGACGAAGAACACCGAUUGCGUAGGCAGCUGACCAGACCGCAAAUGACGCUCAUGCACGAAAGUGCGGGGAUCGAACAGGAUUAGAUACCCUGGUAGUCCGCACAGUAAACGAUGAAUACUUGUUUUCGGCGAUAUAAUGUCGGAGGCAAAGCGAAAGCGAUAAGUAUUCCACCUGGGGAGUACGCCGGCAACGGUGAAACUCAAAUGAAUUGACGGGG